Molecule: small RNA, 222 nt
Filed under: Arabidopsis thaliana (thale cress)
Lineage: Eukaryota; Viridiplantae; Streptophyta; Magnoliopsida; Brassicales; Brassicaceae
Description: ATSL189540
Source: RNAcentral
AAUAUCGAAAACAAACAAAAUAAUAACGGAGAAAAAAUAUCAAAAACUAACCCAUAUUACAAACGGUACAGAAUCUACUUAUAUAUUUUUGCAACACUUUUAUGAAAUAAAUCCUGGAGUUUGAACUUAUUUACAACCCAAUGCCAUUGGCAUUAAAUGUUUUAACAAACUUAUUAUCAAAUCUAUAAAUCGAUUUUGUUACUAAAAUUUAGGAAACUAAAA